GCGCUGGACAAUGCCCCCUGCCUUCCCAUUUAGGUGGGGAUAAGCAAUAGUUCUGGUUUUCCCCAUGAGUAUUCUGAUGCUUAAAAAACAAAAAACAGGCAAACCUCUCCUGCAAAGAGCCACUGCCAGCAGUUAUUUAACUGGCGGGAGGGAAAUGCCCUUUGCACAUGUUCAGAGACACUCUCCAGAUUCUGGUUCUUGCAUCCUGGGCUGGGCCCCAGAAUCCAGAACAAAUAGCAAAGGCCAAGUCCCUGUUCUGUGUUAUUUCAUGACAGGCAGUGCAGUGCAAUGGUUAGAGACCUGGGAGAGACCCGGGUGCAGAUCUCCACUUGGGCAUGAAGCUCACUGGCUGUGACCCUGGGGGCCAGUCAGUGCUUCUCAGCCUAUCCUACCACACAGGGUUGCUGUGAGCUCCUUGGAAGAAAAGCUAGGAUAGAAAUGCAUUAAAUAAUAACAAAGUUCUUUCCAAAGAGAAACCUCCCUCUUACCAGCUUUGCAAUACUGCUCUCUCUUCUGUUCCCUUAAAAGGGACAUGGGAUCCCCGCACCAUCAUCUCCUCCUCCCCCGCCCCCCCCCCCCCCCGCAAAUGGAUGCAUAAUAGCCCAGGGAGACUAAUGGAGCCUUGGGAACUGACACAGUGGAAGAGACUCUUCUCCAUUAGCUGCAGAAGCAGCCGCUGCUCUGGCGUUAAUGGAUGCAUUUGAAUCCUAACAAUAAUAAAAAGAAAAGAAUACCUGCAAUGUUCAGUGCAAGAGGAAAAAGCCAGGAUGAAAACACGUUGGGAGAGGAUCUCAGCUCUUGGGCGGCCCAGAAACUGCCUCUGCAGGAGCAAACAUGAUCCCACGGCGUGUGGGAGCACAGAAAGGGACGCAUACAGGUCGCUCUGCCCAAAUCACUGCUCAGCCACAGGUCACCGGUUAAACCAUGAAUUUGCUCCCGCAAAGCAACAAAGGCAGGGAAUCACAGAAGUGCAAUGUUGGAAGGAGGUUCAGAGUCAUGAAAGCAACCUCUUGCAGAAAAAGGUGGGGUAUAAACGCAUUCAACAGAUUGAGGCUGAAUCCUGACAAGACAGAAGUACCGUUCUGGGGGGACAGGAGGCGGGCAGGUGUGGAGGACUCCCUGGUCCUGAAUGGGGUAACUGUGCCCCAAAAGGACCAGGUGCGCAGCCUGGGAGUCAUUUUGACUCACAGCCGUCCAUGGAGGCGCAGGUUAAUUCUGUGUCCAGGGCAGCUGUUUAUCAGCUCCGUCUGGUGCGCAGGAUAAGACCCUACCCGUCCAUGGACUGUCUGGCCAGAGUGGUGCAUGCUGGUUAUCUCUCACUUGGACUACUGAAAUGUGCUCUACGUGGGGCUACCUUUGAAGGUGACCCGAAAAUUACAACUAAACCUGAAUGCGGCAGCUAGACUGGUGACUGGGAGCAGCCGCCGAGACCACAUAACAACGGGCCUUCUCGGUGGUGGCACUCGCCCUGUGGAACGCCCUCCCACCAGAUGUCAAAGAGAACAAC
Podarcis lilfordi (Lilford's wall lizard) is the source of this 1507-nucleotide non-coding RNA. The record is from the annotation of a GenBank genome assembly. NCBI's taxonomy places the organism in Eukaryota, Metazoa, Chordata, Lepidosauria, Squamata, Lacertidae.